CCCCAGACUCCUACGGGAGGCAGCAGUGAGGAAUAUUGGUCAAUGGGCGGGAGCCUGAACCAGCCAAGCCGCGUGAAGGAAGAAGGCGCCAGGCGUCGUAAACUUCUUUUGUCGGGGAACAAAGGGCGCCACGCGUGGCGUUGUGAGUGUACCCGAAGAAAAAGCAUCGGCUAACUCCGUGCCAGCAGCCGCGGUAAUACGGAGGAUGCGAGCGUUAUCCGGAUUUAUUGGGUUUAAAGGGUGCGCAGGCGGCGUGUCAAGUCAGCGGUAAAAUGUCGGGGCUCAACCCCGGCCGGCCGUUGAAACUGGCGUGCUCGAGUUGGAGAGAAGUAUGCGGAAUUCGUGGUGUAGCGGUGAAAUGCAUAGAUAUCACGAAGAACCCCGAUUGCGAAGGCAGCAUACCGGCUCCACACUGACGCUGAGGCACGAAAGCGUGGGUAUCGAACAGGAUUAGAUACCCUAGUAGCU
RNAcentral lists this ribosomal RNA (468 nucleotides) under uncultured bacterium. Its description in RNAcentral is "partial 16S ribosomal RNA". It matches the Rfam family "Bacterial small subunit ribosomal RNA", at positions 329 to 795 of the family's 1533-position model. The record is from RNAcentral.